AGGGGGAGCACUGGCCAACUAGAACAGAACAGAUAUGUCACAGUGGAGAUUGCAGCGCUAAUGGUGCUAACGGUGUAAAUUUAGCUAACGGUGGAGAAGUGCUAACAGCGCUAACAGCGUUCUGAUGAGGAAACUGUUUGUGUUUCAGUCUGAAGUACAACCAGCCGAGCAUCGUGAAUGGCCGGACGGACGUGGUGGCGGUGACGCCCUGGCUGGCGCCCAUCGUGUGGGAGGGCACCUUUAACCCCGUCCUGCUCGACAGCAUCUACAGGCA
Etheostoma cragini (Arkansas darter) is the source of this 274-nucleotide long non-coding RNA. RefSeq lists it as uncharacterized. Lineage: Eukaryota; Metazoa; Chordata; Actinopteri; Perciformes; Percidae. The transcript is spliced from 2 exons. The record is from RefSeq and is a predicted model, not a curated record.